AGAGUUUGAUCCUGGCUCAGAUUGAACGCUGGCGGCAGGCCUAACACAUGCAAGUCGAACGGUAACAUUUCUAGCUUGCUAGAAGAUGACGAGUGGCGGACGGGUGAGUAAUGCUUGGGAACUUGCCUUUGCGAGGGGGAUAACAGUUGGAAACGACUGCUAAUACCGCAUAACGUCUACGGACCAAACGGGGCUUAGGCUCCGGCGCAAAGAGAGGCCCAAGUGAGAUUAGCUAGUUGGUAAGGUAAUGGCUUACCAAGGCAACGAUCUCUAGCUGUUCUGAGAGGAAGAUCAGCCACACUGGAACUGAGACACGGUCCAGACUCCUACGGGAGGCAGCAGUGGGGAAUAUUGCACAAUGGGGGAAACCCUGAUGCAGCCAUGCCGCGUGUGUGAAGAAGGCCUUCGGGUUGUAAAGCACUUUCAGUUGUGAGGAAAAGUUAGUAGUUAAUACCUGCUAGCCGUGACGUUAACAACAGAAGAAGCACCGGCUAACUCCGUGCCAGCAGCCGCGGUAAUACGGAGGGUGCGAGCGUUAAUCGGAAUUACUGGGCGUAAAGCGCACGCAGGCGGUUUGUUAAGCUAGAUGUGAAAGCCCCGGGCUCAACCUGGGAUAGUCAUUUAGAACUGGCAGACUAGAGUCUUGGAGAGGGGAGUGGAA
RNAcentral lists this ribosomal RNA (661 nucleotides) under uncultured marine microorganism. RNAcentral describes it as "bacterial SSU rRNA". It matches the Rfam family "Bacterial small subunit ribosomal RNA", at positions 8 to 666 of the family's 1533-position model. The record is from RNAcentral.